GUAAUGGUUGGAUAGCCUAUUGAAGUAAUUUAACUGAAUAAUACCUUCUGGUAAUAUUUGAUACACCCACUAAUCCCACUCAUAUAUAUUUUCAAUGCUAUCACAUACUUUAGCAAUUUAUUUUGUUGGACGCGGUGUAUAUCCUAUCAAGCUGGCUUUAUUGGACACAGAAAUAUUUAUAACAUAAUUGUUUGUGCUGUCACCAAGUUAUGUUAAACGAAUACCAACAGUAUUCUAAAACCAUACCUCAUAUUGUCAAUACAUUGUUGACGUUAGCCAUUGUAUUUGUUCUAGUAAUCAUGAACCUUAAUUCCAUGGCAGGGGCUUGAGUCCUAGAUUGAUCAUGUAUAUCACUCAGGGAGCACUUUUCUUCGCAUUUUAUGAAUCUUUCAAGAGGGUGUUUUCUUUAGAUAUCCCGCAGCCUAAAACAGAAAUGGUUCCAUAUGAACAUAAAAAGGAAGAUGAUCGUGCAACGCUGCCUUCACCAAGCUAACAAAAGAAAGAUCAGUUCAUUUGGUUCUUUCAACACUUCAUAGAAAGAUGCAGCCUGACUAUUCAUCGAGUUGUGAACUGUGUGCCAGCUUGUCUCUCUCAGGAAUUUCGCCAUACAUUAAUUCUUUUGGUGUUUUUUACUAGUACAUACCAUUCUUUUAUUUAUGAUAUUAAUUUUGGUUGGUGUCUUCCAAACAGGGAGCAGUAGGAUUGAGGAUGAGAGUGUAUGAUCGUAUUGUGUGCUUUGUGAACUGUCACUUUUAUAACGCUCCAAUUUUCUAAAUCGAAACGUUACACGAUGCUUAUGACCUCGAAGGACUACAAGCUAACCCAUGACUGAUAUUUGUACCUGUAUACUGCAUAAAAGACUAUAAAAAUGUGGAAAACAUGAACUAGAAUUCCAUAAGGUUCAAUACUAAUACAUAACAAAAAAUAUGGUAUACAAUACCAAAACAAAUCUGAAAUAACUAUCUGACAUGCUAUAGUUUAAAAGUCUCUAAACUGUCUGAAUAAGGAGUUGAUGGGACAUUUCCCCAACUAACUCUAUCUACUAAAAUAAACUGAAAAAUAAAAAUAGUAACAUAAUCAAAUAAUAUCAUCCUCGAAUGAUGAGGACUCACUGCUAACUCUGUCUGCUGAAACCUGGAAUACUACUGACGCUCUGGAUCUCGUACUUCUAAACCUAUGGUAUAAGACACCAUAGCACAAAUACGUCAGUACUUUGAAUGUACUGGUAUGCAAGUGAGGUAAGCUGAAUGCAAUAGGGUUCAUAUGUAUAAAAAAUACUAUUUAACUGACUAACAUGAAUGUGAGAAUACAUACAUGCAUACGUAACUGUAACUGACAUCGUGAUAGGACUGAAUACCAAGUUCUAACUACUGAGUUUAUUGAUAUUGACAUCUGAGUCACUGAUGAGUGAGAAAGAAUGAUAUUAUAUUAUUGAAUACUGAGGGACUGAUACUAUGUUACUGAUAUAUGAAUAACUGUGUCUAACAGUUCUGAUUAUGAAGAACUGGUCUGGUUGACUGUACAUAACAGUUCUAAAGCUGAAUACUGAUAACAUGAGUUCUGAUAACUGAUAGCAUGAGUGACUGUAUCUGACAGUCCUAAAUCUGAUGGAACUAGCUGAGUUCUGUACUAUAUCUAAGUAACUGAAUUUGAGAUCAGUCAUAUCUAGCGGUGAUCUUUAAAUCUGAUGAUACUGAUAAGAAAGAUGAUUUAACUUAGUCUGAAAUUAGUCCUACCUUGCGGGUGAUCUCUGAAUUUGAUUAUGCUGAUAAUGAUUGAACAAAGUUGAGAUCAGUCUUAUCUAAUGGGUGAUCCCAAAAUCUAUUUAUAAUGAUAAGAAUUGACUGUAUUGGACAGUCCUGAAUCUAAGGAACUAUCUGAGUUCUUUUAUUGAGACUGAGUUCACUAUAUCUGACAGUCCUGAAUUCAUAACUGAAACUGUGGGAUGUAUUCAUCUAACCAACAUGCCUCAUACUAUGCUAACUAGGGUCCAACCUGUAACCCCUGUUGGAAGGGUGUCAAUACCGCACCACUGGUAAAGACAACUAUUGUGGAGUCAGUCCUAAUCUAGUGGGUGACCCCUGGGAUCAGUCCUAUGCAUUUAAAUGUGCUAACGGGUGAUCCCUGAGUAUGUCAGUCCUAUCUAACGAGUGACAUCUCAUACCUACGCUGGCUACGUAGUUCUGAAACUUAGGGAUUGCUUCUAGGGAUCUCAGUUCCUACCUAGUGGGUGAGUCCCCGUCCCUAGGCUUGCUCGGUGUUGAAUCCUACUCCCAUCUGAAAGACUCUGAACUGAUUAACUGAACUGAACUGAUACUAGUGGUAUUUUCUAGCAGAGCUAAAUUGAAUUUACUGAGUUCCGUUAACUGAUGGAAUAUACUGAGUUCUGAGGACUGGCUGAGAGUACUGUAGUUACUGAGAUUUAUUGGGAAUACUGAAAUAACUGAGAUUACUGAGAUUUCUGAGAUAUCGUGAGUCACAUGACUGACUGAGUUCCAUGGAUCAUGGCUUGACUGAGAGUAUCGUGAAAACAUGACAUGGCUCUAGGCACACAGCUAAAUUGGCUGAUACAAGUACCCCCAGGAAUCGAUGGAAAGAAAAUGACAUAGCAUAGCUUACUUGAACACAUGACCAAUCAACACAAUUCAUAAUUCAUCUAUUAAACCACUUCAUCAAAGAUGUGAUAUGCAUAAGCUUGUACACACAUGGGGAUUUCAUAAUAUCAUGCUAGUUAGGCACUUUUCCUUCACCUAGGCAUUUAAUCAAACAUAUUAUAGGCAUAGUACAUGUAAACAACAUUAUACAACAAACAAAUAUCAUGAUUCAUCUCUGAUUUCAUCAUUCAAGGGUUUAGUCAUAAGGUUGCAUGAAUCUAUAGCUAUAAUAAUUAAACCCACGUAGAAAUUCUCACCCAACAUGGAUUUAAAUUCAAAUUGAUCAUUCUCAUCAUAAACAAAACAAACCCAACAUGAAAUUCAUAAAGAAAUCCAUAAACUUGAAUUUAGAAAAGGGAUUCUUGGGCUUCAUGGACGAAAUGAGUCCAUGAAUGAACACUAUGCAUACCUUAAAGCUUGAUCUUGAAAGAGAUCUAAUGUUUCUUGAAGGUUCUUAAAGAAAUUCUUAGGCUUGUUCUUGAUUUUUCUUGACUAGGGUUUAACCCCUUUUGGGAGAGAAUGUUCUUAUUCUUGAGGAGAAUGAGAAAAUAAUGGGAUAUAGCCUUAUCAGGGCUUUAAUACCAUGUUUAGAGUAAGGGAAAAAGACCAAAAUACCCCUACGAAAUUACUUCCCAGUUGCUGAAAUUAUCAGCUGACGACCAAGGCUGAUAAACUGUCAGAUCUGUGAUAGCCCAUCAGCCCAGGUCAUCACUUGGGAGCUGGAAUUGAUGGGUUUCUGUCUAGGCCAGAUGACAUGGGCUGAUAAGCCGUCAGAUCUGUGAUAAGCCGUCAGCUCAUGUCGUCACUCAGUUGUCAGGAGGACAUGCUGGAGUAAAAUGGGUAUAACUUUUUGCUCCGAUAUCGGAUUUGGGAAAAAUUGGUAUCGUUGGAAAGAUAAUUAAAUUAUCUAUCUUUUGGUGGGUUAUAAGCUCAAAAAUUCGUAGUAUAAAUAUAUAUAUGCUCAUUUGAAGUUGACUAUGGCAAUAUCCUUCCCAAGAAUUUAAUCGGUAAGGAAUGUUUUGAUUCAUUUGAUAGAUGGGAGUUAUUUGAAGCCUUAAUAUACAUAUAAAUUACUCAUAAAACUAUAAAAAAACCAUGAUGUACUAUGCAUGAGCUUGAAACAUGGCGCUAAUAUUGGUUUGGAUUUUUUGGGGUAUUAUAACUUUGCUGCACAUUUAGAAGUUGUUGGUCACCGGAAUGCUGAUUUUGACCAUGUGUAUCAAAGUAUGAUCUUUAGUCGCCAUCAAACUUUCUUAAUGCUGCAGCUGGUAUGGUUUCAUACCUAUUCUCAGCUUGCUUACUUGUUUGCCUGCUCUAUGUAUUUAAUAUGGAUUGCUUAUUGUUCUCGGUUGCCACUGUUCCUUUCUAUUACAGCUGGUGUCUCAUCUGCUAUUAAAAUACUUUGCAGUGCAAAUAUACGUACUUAAAUUGGUAAAUUUGAAUGGCUAGUCUAUAAUAGUCUUCCUAAAAUAUUUGUUUCCUUCUUCGGAGCAGUAUAUUUCAAUUGGUACAGAUAAAAAACAUUGAACUAUGUUUAUCAGGGUGCGUUUAGCUCUGCAGAAGCAACUCCCGCGAUAUCUAAGGCAGAUAUGGUUGUAUUUUUUGGUGACUUGAUCUAUCGGCUUGAUGGUAUUUCUUAUAAUGAAGUAAAAGAUUUUAUUUCCCAAAGGAGCUUUGAUUGGCUGAGAGAGAGGGACCAGUUGCGUACAGAUAUGGAUGUUGGGAAUGCCUUCUAAGGAAUGUGUGAAGCAGUCAUGAGAUUUUCUCCAACAUACAAAUUUGGAAGACAUCAAACUGGCUUAGCAGGUUACGACUGGUGAAAAAAAGUGAAUUCCUGCCUGGUGUGAAAGAAUUUUGUAUCGUGAUAGCCGUUCCACUUCAGCUUGCACAUGCAGCUUAGAUUGUCCUGUCAUCUCAUCAGUUCUUCAGAAAGUUUUCCAUAUGUUUCUAUGGAUUGAGGUAGCUUAGAUUGUUCUGUCGUCCGUUCCACUUUUGGUUUCCCUCGUUGGCUUGAGGUGUCCAAACUGAAGAAAGAAAUGAAGAAAGUGAUGAAGACAUUGACAUUACUUGAGAAGAUUUUUGGGUUGUGGAUAAAUGCUCUAAUAUCAAUAGUUUUUUGUUGAAUUUCUUCUAACUUAUCGCGACUCGAACUUGCUAGUAUGUAAAAACUUGACUAAUCAUUUGGACUUGAUUACAGUUUGCUUUUGGGUUUAAAUUACUAGCUUGUUACAUAUUUUGAAUUAUGGGAUUAUUAAUGAAUGAUUUUGUGUUGUGAUGUGUAUAUAUUGU
Capsicum annuum is the source of this 4943-nucleotide long non-coding RNA. RefSeq lists it as uncharacterized. The record is from RefSeq and is a predicted model, not a curated record. The transcript is spliced from 3 exons. NCBI's taxonomy places the organism in Eukaryota, Viridiplantae, Streptophyta, Magnoliopsida, Solanales, Solanaceae.